AUUUAAAUAGCUUAAAUUAAAAGUAUAAUAUUGAAAAUAUUAAGAUAAAUAAAUUUUUUAAAUA
This 64-nucleotide transfer RNA is filed under the name Colletes gigas. RNAcentral describes it as "tRNA-Phe". Lineage: Eukaryota; Metazoa; Arthropoda; Insecta; Hymenoptera; Colletidae. The record is from RNAcentral.